AACUUUAAACUUCUUACUUGACACAAACUGUAUAAUAUAUAAGACGAGAAAGUCUGAGGAAACUGAUGACAUCACAAAUGAAAAUGACGUCAAAAGCUUUAGGUACACAAAUCAAAUGUAAGCAAGAGAGGUCACAUUCGUAAUGAACCGAUGUUUCUAGUGGGAAGUGAAUGAACUACAAAGAAAUGAGUUUAGAGCAUGUUUAAUUGUUAACAAGAACAAAUUGCUUAAACGAUUUCAACAAAACUAAACACUGGUGGAGCUAAAUGUUUUGUAAAAUCUCAACGAGACGACAGUCGAGGAAACGAUGAUGUCACAAAACUAGCGUCAUGACGUCACCAAACUAGCGUCAUGGCGUCACAAAACUAGCGUCAUGGCGUCACCAAACUAGCGUCAUGACGUCAGUGGGGAAACAUAGCUUCUAUCUUUCCCUAGGGGAGAUAGAAAAUAUAUUCACCUGCAUCUCACUGCCCAUAUGGGUAAUAAAUAUGAAUGUGAUCUAAUGUGUCCUGUAAUCUUUAAAAUAGUGUUAUUUUCUCAUUCUCAUUAUUGAUUAUUAUAUAUAUAAAUAUGAAUAUGAGAACACAAACCAUGUAAUCUUUUAAAUAGUGCAGACUCCUAUUCUCAUUAUUGACUAUACACCGGUAUAUAUAAAUAUGAAUAUGAGAACACAAACCAUGUAAUCUUUUAAAUAGUGCAGACUCCUAUUCUCAUUAUUGACUAUACACCGGUAUAUAUAAAUAUGAAUAUGAGAACACAAACCAUGUAAUCUUUUAAAUAGUGCAGACUCCUAUUCUCAUUAUUGACUAUACACCGGUAUAUAUAAAUAUGAAUAUGAGAACACAAACCAUGUAAUCUUUUAAAUAGUGCAGACUCCUAUUCUCAUUAUUGACUAUACACCGGUAUAUAUAAAUAUGAAUAUGAGAACACAAACCUUGUAAUCUUUUAAAUAGUCCAGACUCCUAUUCUCAUUAUUGACUAUAUACCAGUAUAUAAAUAUGAGAACAUGUAUCCUGUAAUCUUUUAAGUAGUCCAGACUCCUAUUCUCAUUAUUGACUAUAUACAGUAUAUAAAUAUGAGAACAUGUAUCCUGUAAUCUUUUAAAUAGUGUUAGUCUCAUUAUUGACUAUACCGGUAUAUAUAGAUAUGAAUAUGAGAACACAAACCUUGGUAUUAUGUAAUCUUUUAAAUAGUCCUGUUCUCAUUAUUGAUUAUACCAGUAACAUAAAAUUGUUGAUUAUGAGAUCCAUAACAAUCAGGAAUGACGUUAGCUGUAAUUAUUCCUAUACUCAAGAUGUGCAGUGAACAUGACAGAUAGUAGGUGAACAUGACAGAUAGUAGGUGAACACGACAGCUAGUAGGUGAACACAGCAGUAGGUGGACACGACAGCUAGUAGGUGAACACAACAGUAGGUGAACAGGACAGCUAGUAGGUGAACAGGACAGCUAGUAGGUGAACAGGACAGCUAGUAGGUGAACACGACAGCUAGUAGGUGAACACGACAGCUAGUAGGUGAACACGACAGCUAGUAGGUGAACACGACAGCUAGUAGGUGAACACGACAGCUAGUAGGUGAACAGGACAGCUAGUAGGUGAACAGGACAGCUAGUAGGUGAACAUGACAGCUAGUAGGUGAACACGACAGCUAGUAGGUGAACACGACAGCUAGUAGGUGAACAGGACAGCUAGUAGGUGAACAGGAUAGUAGGUGAACACGACAGCUAGUAGGUGAACAGGACAGCUAGUAGGUGAACACGACAGCUAGUAGGUGAACACGACAGCUAGUAGGUGAACAGGACAGCUAGUAGGUGAACAGGACAGCUAGUAGGUGAACAGGAUAGUAGGUGAACAGGACAGCUAGUAGGUGAACACGACAGCUAGUAGGUGAACACGACAGCUAGUAGGUGAACAGGACAGCUAGUAGGUGAACACGACAGCUAGUAGGUGAACAGGACAGCUAGUAGGUGAACACGACAGCUAGUAGGUGAACACGACAGCUAGUAGGUGAACAGGACAGCUAGUAGGUGAACAGGAUAGUAGGUGAACACGACAGCUAGUAGGUGAACAGGACAGCUAGUAGGUGAACACGACAGCUAGUAGGUGAACACGACAGCUAGUAGGUGAACAUGACAGCUAGUAGGUGAACACGACAGCUAGUAGGUGAACAGGACAGUAGGUGAACAGGACAGCUAGUAGGUGAACACGACAGCUAGUAGGUGAACACGACAGCUAGUAGGUGAACAGGACAGCUAGUAGGUGAACAUGAAUAUGAGAACACAAACCUUGUAAUCUUUUAAAUAGUCCAGACCCUUAUUCUCAUUAUUGACUAUAUACCAGUACAUAAAUAUGAGAACAUGUAUCCUGUAAUCUUUUAAAUAGUCGGACUCCUAUUCUCAUUAUUGACUAUAUACAGUAUAUAAAUAUGAGAACAUGUAUCCUGUAAUCUUUUAAAUAGUGUUAGUCUCAUUAUUGACUAUACCAGUAUAUAUAGAUAUGAAUAUGAGAACACAAACCUUGGUAUUAUGUAAUCUUUUAAAUAGUGUUAGUCUCAUUAUUGACUAUACCGGUAUAUAUAGAUAUGAAUAUGAGAACACAAACCUUGGUAUUAUGUAAUCUUUUAAAUAGUCCUGUUCUCAUUAUUGAUUAUACCAGUAACAUAAAAUUGUUGAUUAUGAGAUCCAUAACAAUCAGGAAUGACGUUAGCUGUAAUUAUUCCUAUACGCUAGAUGUGCAGUGAACAUGACAGCUAGUAGGUGAACAUGACAGCUAGUAGGUGAACACGACAGCUAGUAGGUGAACAGGACAGCUAGUAGGUGAACAGGACAGUAGGUGAACAGGACAGCUAGUAGGUGAACAUGACAGCUAGUAGGUGAACACGACAGCUAGUAGGUGAACACGACAGCUAGUAGGUGAACAGGACAGCUAGUAGGUGAACAGGACAGUAGGUGAACAUGACAGCUAGUAGGUGAACACGACAGCUAGUAGGUGAACAGGACAGUAGGUGAACAGGACAGCUAGUAGGUGAACAUGACAGUAGGUGAACACGACAGCUAGUAGGUGAACACGACAGCUAGUAGGUGAACAGGACAGCUAGUAGGUGAACACGACAGCUAGUAGGUGAACACGACAGCUAGUAGGUGAACAGGACAGCUAGUAGGUGAACACAACAGUAGGUGAACAGGACAGCUAGUAGGUGAACACGACAGCUAGUAGGUGAACACGACAGCUAGUAGGUGAACACAACAGUAGGUGAUCAGGACAGCUAGUAGGUGAACAGGACAGCUAGUAGGUGAACACGACAGCUAGUAGGUGAACAGGACAGCUAGUAGGUGAACAGGACAGCUAGUAGGUGAACAGGACAGCUAGUAGGUGAACAUGACAGUAAGGGCACAGUUCUGAUCGUUCAAAUCCUUCCUAAGUUUGUAUUUCAUGCGUUCAAACUGAUAGUUGGUCAGUUAGUUCAAACCGAUGAUGAGUAAUGAAAUUGCAAUUGAUUCCCGACACAACGUUCGAAGGUCCACAUUUUUUUAAACCGACACCUGACGGCAAACUGCCGAGUGCCUGCCUGACAUCUCAUAAUUAAUAUACUUCUUGUGACUGAUAUUCAGUUUUUGUGAUUUCUUGUUUAUUUUGCAAUGUUAUCACACCAACUACAUGUUUUAUAUGUAUUAUUAGCAAUUCCAAAUGUUUUAUAUCGUUUGGUUUUAGUGCAAUUUGUCCCAGUUAUACAUCUGUUAUGUAAAAACUUAGUUGUUAAUAAUAUUUUGUUUGUCCACAUGGUUAACAUAUACAUGUAUGUGAUGACAUUUCUGUAAGAAAGUAUCCAUUGUGUUAUUUUCCCCUUCCAGAACAUAAUAAAAUUUAGACAUUUUAGUUCAACUUCAUUAGCAGUACAUACAUGUAUAUUUGAUUCAAUUUAGCAGAUAUAUUAAAUAUUUUACUAAAGUAAAGUUGAACAAGAGUACCAGUGAGGUACAUGAUACUCCCAUUAAAAGUAGGUCAUGGUGACCUAGUUAUUGUAUGUGACACACCACCAUUGCAAGUUGUAUUUGCAUGCAAAGUCUGAUGAAGAUCUUAUAUGAAUUGAUAAGAAAGAUAUGCUCCAGAAACAAAAACGUUUGUGGAUGGUGAGUGCCAUACCAUAAUAUGAUCUAUCAAAGUGAGGUGUAUAAAAAUGCAUUUAUUUAAAUAUGUAAUAAAAGAUAAAAAGAUAUGGGAGCUUAUAGAUUCAGAUUAGGAAUUUUGUGUUAAAUUUGGGAAUGGUGCCAACUACACAAUCAUCAAUUGCAACAUAAUUGAUAAGACCCUCCAAGAAACUUUAGUUUUAACCAGAAAUACUACAUAUUUAUGUUGUUGAAGACCAUGUACCUUUAAUUUAUGUGUUGUGCAAUAUAGGUUAUUUGUAUAAGGGCAGAAAUUAUCACUUUGAGAAAUGGGGUGAUGGUCUAGCAAUAAUGUAUGUGUGUGUGUGUGUGUGUGUGUGUGUGUGUGUGUGUGUGCGUGCGCGCAUGCGUGCACACAUGCAGGGGAGGUCUAGGCUGGUGUUAGCAAAGUUUUCAUGGGGUGGGAGAUCGAGAUAUGCUCCCCAGGAAAAUAGUUUUCAGAAAGAAAAAUUGAUAUGAGCAAGUGGACUUUUAGGGGAACUGUUAAGCCAGAUAUUAGGGUUAACAACCCCACAUUCCAAUCCACGACAGCUGUGACCAUUUCUCUUAUAGCCUUUAUUUCCUUUAGUCAUCAUGUCUAUUAUUAUUUUAGUGUUUCAUUAACCACUCUUGGUUUUUCCAUAGUUCCACACACACACACACACAGAGAGAGAGAGAGAGAGAGAGAGAGAGAGAGAGAGAGAGAGAGAGAGAGAGAGAGAGAGAGAGCAUUUGGGGGGGGGGGGGGGGGGGUAACGUGGGGGCAGAAGAGAUUAAGAAUGUCAUAUUCUUGAGAAUAAAUAAUUUUUGAUGAUGUACUUUUAGAAAUCUGUUUGUGUGUUCAUGUUUUCUAGUCUUCUGUUUAAAUGAUUUCUGUUGUAUCAAGUUUUAUUAAUCUUAUUAAUAUAAUUAUAUUGCCAAUUUAAGUUGUUGAAAAGUUUUGUUAGUAAAAUUGCAUUACAUA
Long non-coding RNA from Gigantopelta aegis, 5107 nucleotides. RefSeq lists it as uncharacterized. Lineage: Eukaryota; Metazoa; Mollusca; Gastropoda; Neomphalida; Peltospiridae. The transcript has 2 exons. The record is from RefSeq and is a predicted model, not a curated record.